GUCAUGCUAUAGUCGGCCAAUGGGUGCUCAAAGAUGCCCAUCGUGAACUUCACCCUCAAAAUCCUCUUCACUGCAUCAUCAAUUCGGCUCAUUGGAACAAAAUUGUUCUUAACCAGGAAGGUUAGACCAUCAAUGAAUUCUGUAUAGUUGUAUGGAAUCAUGAUCUGCAACAUCCGAAAAAUAACACAAGUCCUUCAGCAUUUAGCAGAGUAGAUUAAUAUUAUAAGCUUGUUAAGCAAAUCAGACUGACCAUGUCAAUUCCGGCGCUGACACCAGUGACAAUUGAGUAUGUGUAAUUUGCAUGAGGAGGAGAGGUAAUAGUGUCAAUGCCUUGCCAAUCUGAGAUGACAAAUCCCUGAAUAAUAAUUCAGAACUUAAUUAAUCCUGUGCUCGAUUGGAGAUGUCGAAUGAGGAACUGGAAGCAGGAAGGAGUACUUUUUACUUUCGAAACUGAUUAGUUUACCCUAAAUCUCAGCGUGUUCUUAAGAAAACCAGUGAUCAUUUCACGAUUAGCAUGCAUCUUUAUUCCAUUCCAGCUUGAAUAGGAGAUCAUGACAGUUGAUACACCCUUGAUAAUUGCAUUAUAAUAGCCGGCCAUAUGGAUGCUAAGCAAACCAUGCCUGCUGAUCACUGUAUUAUUCCCAUUGAUGCCUUCAGUCGUUCCUCCAUCACCAACAAAGUGCUUAGCACAUGCAGCAAUGUUCUUUCUGCCAAAAAAAAAAAAAGAUUAAUCAAGAAUGCAAAUUCCGAAGGUACAGGGUAUACAAUUUCUGGGAAUUUAUUAUCCAUUCCUAGAAUAAUAUUUUAAAAAAAUAUACAAAUUUUAGAUCGAAUGGAGUAAUUUUCAUGUAUCUUCUAAUUGACACCGGGUAAAGCUAAACAACCUCCCAAUUCCAAGUUUUGAAGCUUUGAACGGUCAAUUGGACUUUCUAACCUUUUUGUGGGCAUUUGGUUAGAUAUCUUAUUUACUAGUAGAUGUUCUUUGUUACCCCUGUUUUAAAGUUCAAUCAAUCCGGUCCACAUCAGUUCUUGACAAAAAAAAAUGUAAAAGCUAACAUCCAACUGAAGGAGUGGACUAUAGCAAACAAGGUGACGGGCAAGCAAGUCGCUGCAUAAACGGGGAAGGCCGCGAACUUGAGCAAAAAAAAAAAGUGGCCGGAGCAGAAUGAGAUGAGCAUGAAAGCUGUGGAUACAAACAGCGAAGUUAAACCCAAUAGAAGCUUACUGGGCAAGCUGGUGCCAAAAUCUUUUUCUUGGUACCUAGACGUGAGAAUGGCUAGAAACAUGACUAAGGAGGUGACCGAAAAGCAAAGCGCAACAAGGGAUGAAAUGGCGAAGCAGUCAAAUGCGGGCUUGGGAAAUUAUGGAUUUAUCCCGAAAUUUUAGUCAGAUCCGAGUUUGGAAAAUUUGGGAUUAACGGAUGUUUCCGAUUUUGUCCUUGAAAUUAUGCCGGUGUGCUAUUUUUAGCCGAAAAAGGGCAAAUACGAGCAUUAUAAUGAAAUUGGCUCAUAAUUUAUAAAUUAAGAAAUAUUCUGGCUGAUUUUAAAUGUCAGGGACUAAAAAAAAUUUUUGUGAAAAUAUUGGGGAUCAAUUUGGCUAAUUUACCAUCAAGAAAAUGAUGGAAUAAGAGGAAUUUGCAAUACGUACUGGCCAGCAAGAUAAGGAACCCCUAAGCGGCCAUUGGAAGGGAUUUCCCCUUGUAAUCCCGGAAUAAUCUCAGUCAUUGCGCUCACAAUUUUGGGAUCUUCACUAUAGCUUUCAUAACACCGGCCCCAUCUGGGAUCUCUGCAGACCUAAUCACAGAUCAGAAAGGGCACUUAUUUUGAUUGUUUCAAUGUACUCUGAGCUGCAUAACAAUUAAUGGAUCACAGAAAGAGUUAAAUUACCGCAAUGCAUGGUGCAAAAGCAUAUUGAAUGCCUGUAGCUCUCACUUCAAGGGCAGUUGCAGCUCCAAUCUUCUUCACCAGUGCAGGGUCCCUGCUCAAGCGGGUAACUCAAAGAGUUUAAUUGCCACAUUCAAUUAAAGAUUCAAUAUUGAGAAGAGGGUAAAUUCCAUUUUAUCCCCUUAAACUAUGCCCAAAAUCUCACUAUAGUCCCUAAACUUUAAAAUGGGACAUUUAAAUCCUUAAACUAUAUAAUCCGUCCCACUUUACUCCAAAUUUUGACGAAAUACACAAAAUCUAACAGAAUAGUUGCCAAUUCAUUUAGGUUAUAAUUAUAAUUUAAUUUAAUCAAAUCUAAUAGGGACAUAAAUAUAAUUUAAUGAGACCCAAUAUAAAAAAAACAAAGAGUCAGAGAGAUAAAGAUAAUUUUACCUCUUUAAUUAAUAAUAAUUAAAGUUUUUUCCCUUUUUUAAUCGAAAAGCCAUGUUUUUAAACUUUACUUUUCUUUUUUUUUUCCACCUUUUUUUCUAUUUUCCUUUCAUUUCCUUUUCUAUUUUUUCCUUUCUUUCUUCACUACCUUCUUCCUCCAUUACCGCACAUCAACCACUGCUACACAUCAUCUACCUUUUCUCUUGCCAUCAUCAUCCGCCACGUUUUACUACUUCAUUCUCCUCCCGAUGAUGAAUCCAAAAAUAUGAUGUUUAUCACAGAAGAAAUCACAAAAUGUUUGCCAUACCAAUACAUCACCAUUUGUACUUAUCACAACCUGUAACUUGUUUCUUGUCUCCUUUUUGAAUAGCCGCCCCACCCAAUUUCUUAUCCCCUCUUCUCCAUUCACCUAAUUUCAUAUCACAACGUUGUAGGAGCAUUUUUUUAUGUUGUAACGGAAAUAAUGUAAAUGAUUUGUUCAAGAAAAGAAUACUGCAAACAAAUUUGAGAUUUCUUGAAAACCAAUUUUACAAAUACCAACUGAAUUUAAACCCAGAAAUCUAGAAACAUAUUUUGAGAGAAGGAGAGAAAAAGAAAAGAACGAAAGACCAUCGAGAAAAUGGGUCAAUCCUGUUUGAUUUGUUUCCCACCAGCCAAAUCACAGAAUACAAAUUUCCUCAAGAGGAAAGUUGUGAGAUAAAUAAAAUAAUAUUUUCCUCCAACCUAUUAGCUCUGAGCGUACCUGACCCGGCUUUUGAGUCUCGGCUCCGAGACAAAGCCUACCUCGAAAUCCUCGACCAACACACCUCCGACCUCCAUCGUCUUUCCACCUCCACUUCCGUAGCACGAUCCACCCCCUCUUCCUCCUCCUCCAACACCACCGCCACCACCAUCCCUUAUGGCCUCGUUAUCUCCCUCUUUUCCCACUCAAAAUUCUUUGUUGAUAUUGAUUUGGUUUCUGAUAUUUAAAAUUUUUUUUCGUGAUUAUAUUAUAAUAAUUAACAAAUGGAGGGCUGCGAGUCAAGGGUAUGAUCAGAGCUUCUGGUGGCAAACGGUGGUAGUGGGUGGCAUGGGCGGUGUGUGGCUGGGAUGAAGGGAGAGAUAGGGAGGAAGAGAAAGAAGGUGAAUGAAUAAUUUUUAAAAAUUUGGAGUGUAUCAAAAGCUUUGGAUUUCAUGAAAUUACACUUAUGUCCCUGUUGGAUUUGGUUAACUUUAGUUAUAAUAAUAACUAACAGAAUUGGCAAAUAUUCUAUUUGGUUUUGUGCAUUCUGUUAAAAAUUGGAGUAAGGCGGACAUGUUUAUAGUUUAAGGAUUUAAAUAUCUCAUUUUGAAGUUUAGGGAUUAAAAUGAGAUUUUGCUUAUAGUUUGAGGGGAUAAAGUGGAAUUUACCCUCGAAAAGAUAGAUAUCAAAUGAUGCCAAAAAGAGCCGUAUCCCUCCCCGCUAAAUCCCUCCCCGUCCUUCUCCCCAAGACAAGAACUUCAGCUGCAGCUUUUUCAUAAAACAACAAACAAAAUGGUGGACUUCAGCUACUACAAUACAAGAGUGCGUUUUGGAGUACUCUCCAAAUUAUAAGCAAAUAACUCACGUCAAAUAAUUGUAAUACGAACUACUAGCCACAUAAAAAAUGGUCGUAAUCAAAGGAGAUGUGGAUUAAUCAUCGUCAUCUAGAAACUUAAUCACAGCCAAAUGGUCGUGCAGACUUACCUAGUGGCUCCAAGACCAAUAUUAUGAGGAAAAACGGUAGCCUUGUAGACAGUGUUGUGGCCAUGAACAGCGUCAAUCCCAUAAAUCAUUGGUAUCCCAAGACGCGUAGACAAUGAACCCUUUUGGAAAUCGUUUACCAUGUCCACCCAUGUCUCCGGCGAAGCCUGCUUAGCUGGAACACUCCCUCCACCACUCAGUACACUCCCUGCAAAUAACUGACAUUUUAAUCCCAGAAAAAGAAAAACGACAACACAUAACGAGCUCUUCUAAUUAACUGCAAAAAUCAGUUUUUUCAAAGUGCAGAUUAUUGAUGCAUACCAAUGUAGUACUUUUUCAUGAUCUCUCUGGAUGCGAUACUACGAUCUAUCUGCACCAUUUGGCCAAUUUUCUCCUCUAAGGUCAUCCUGCUCAAUAAAUCCUUAAUUCUAGUAUUUAAGGGCUGUUUGGGAUCCUUAUAAGGCAAGUACUCUGCUUCUGCUUUCAUGGCUGCACAGAUGCAGAACAAUGCGAUCCCAAAAGCCAGUAAGGAACCCUUUGCCAUCUUGAGCCUCAGCAUUACCUUCAACAGACAAAAGAGAACAGAAAAUUCUAUUAGAUUCCAAGCAUCCCAUCAAUAAAUCUCACUGAUGUAAACCGUGGCUUUGGAAAACGUUUAGACAACUGAAGUACAAGGAAGCAGCAUUUUCCCAAAUUUUGCCGUUUUAAAUCUGGAGAUGAACUAUUCAAGUAUUUGGAAGAGCAAUUAUUGGACAGGAGAAUAUCUUGGACAGUGGACACACGAAACAUGAAACGUGAACAUGUAUGUCCAUGCGUUUGUUUGACGAAAUGGACUUGUUAAAAAAGCGAAGACGAGUAAAAAAGGAAAUCUUGGGAAAGUAUAAAAUUAUCAAUGUAACACUAUGAUAGUUAGGAAAAUCAAGAUAAACUAUCAAGAAUCUUGAAAAAGGAACCAAAAAGUCCCUCUAAAAAAAAUGGAACCAAAAAGUUUUAUCUGAACGUAUGAGAUGCCCAGGAAAACAGUCCAAUGCUAUUAAAGAAUCAGAGCCUACUAUCACCGAUAGCCACUGAGUGGUGGUCUAUGGCUGCCGAUUUAAGGUAGGGAUGUAACUUACAGAGGAUGCAGCCAAAAUUGCACCCCAGCACACCAACUACUACUAUGCUUUUAGUAGUACAGUGUUUCUUUGUCGCUGAGAGAGAGAGAGAGAGAGAGAGAGAGAGAGAGAGAGAGAGAGUACACAGCUGCAGAUGAAAUGGGAUGUAGAGGGAUGCCAUUUAUAGAAAAACGUUCUGUCAUUUAAUUGGCUUGGUUACCCAUUGAUGCGGAUAUGCCCUCCAUAUUGUGCUGUAAAAGUCUGAUAUUAAGUUUGAUGGAGUUUUUUGCCAAAAUAACACUAUGUUAUUGUUGCCACCUAAUUUAUAGUUUCCAAAAUGAAUUAAAAAUUUAAAAUUUUUUUUAUUAUAGAGGAACAAGAAGAUUGCAUAACUUUUAUAAUUUCCUUAUAAUUAUUUAACAUAAAUUCUGCCAUUAUUGACCUUGCUAUUAUUGGUUUCUGAAUUUCUUAAAAUGAAUCAAACCUAUUGCAUAUAUUUUUUCAAAAAAAAAAUUAAAAAAUACAAAAAUUGCAACAAAAAUUUCAAUAAAAAUUGUAAGCAAUUACAAAUACUUCAAGGUGAUCAUAUUUGUUUAUGUUACCCUUCCUACUUCUUAAAAAGACAAGAGAAUAAUUUUUAUCUGCCUUGAGAUUAUCGAUUUGAGAAGCAUAUUUUUUAGGUGUUGUUAAUAUAAAUAUUGGCUUCUUAGGAUUAUGUUUGACAAAGGAAAAAUAAUUAAACAAAAAAAUGCGAGAAGGUUUAGAAAAAAAUUGGAGAAGACAUUAUAUGGGAAAGAGAAAUGAAAUAUGCCUUUAUCUCCAUCCUAGGACAUAUGCAGCUUAAGUGGCAAAAAAAGGAUCAUAAAAAUAAUAAAAUUUAAAAUUAGGUUACUUUGAGUAUAUGUUUUGGAAGACGAGUUAUUUUGGCAAUAAACUCAAGUUUGAUGCUAGGGUACUGAAAUGCUGGUCCACGUACACUGCAGCCCCAAGUGAAGACAGUAAUGGAACUUUGACGUUUUUGUAAGGUAGGGGAUUCAAACUAGUAAUAAGUUAAUGUAAAAAUAAUUCAAAACGUAUCUCAUAUUUUAUUAAACAAUUUUUUUCUCAAUUUUAAAAUAUUAAUUUUGCAUUUUUAUCAAUAUUUAGUUUCAACCUAAAUUUUCAAUUAUCUUUUAGUCUAAAUUCAUCACGUGAUCCACAUACAGUUAUUUUUAUAUACAAAAAUGUUAGAUCCCACUUUCUUUGUAGCAAAAAAAUAUAGAUUAGCUCAGAUCUUAUUUUUUUGAAAAAAAAUAAAAAUGAUUCAAGUCAAAUCCUAUUUUUUUUGAAGCAAAAUUGAAUAUGGAUUAGGCCAUUUGUUUAAUUACAAAUGAGAUCUAAUCUUUUUGCCCCUUAAAAAAUGACUAUAUGUGAAUCAUGUGAUGAAUUCAAGAUGAAAAAUGGUCGAAAACUUAGAUUUGAAUCAAAUUUUAUCAAUUUGAUUUUAUAAGGAUGUAAAAUUAAUAUUUUUAAAGCGAAUGAUUAAAAAAAUCAUUUGACAAAAUGUGAGAGACAUUUUAAAUAAUUUUCCCAUAACUGAUUUACUUCUCUCAGUAACUGCUCUAUCUUGUACUCUCUCCUUUUUUCUUUUUUUUUGAUACAUUUAUUUAGCUGAUUUCUUUGGUCAUUUGAACAAUGACAAAGCGUAAUACUUGCGUGAUUUUUUUUUUUCUUCUUGGGAAAUUUGGUCGAACACUCAACACGAAUACAAAUCAAGCUAACAACUUCUAGAAAGUUGAGAUUUUGAUAUUCCUAAAAUCCAAACUUAAAUAAUGUACAUAGAUUGUAAUUUUUUGUCAAAAAAUAUUUAUUUAUAUCACAAACAUAUUUUUCAGCACACUUUUUAUUUUUCUAAUUACCUUUUUAUCUCACAUAUAUCACAUCAUAAAAAGUAUUACAAUAAUUAUUAUAAAUAAUAUUUUAAAUAGUUUCCUAUCCAAAAUAAUCUCUUAUCCAAGUGUUACAGUAAUUAUUUAAAAUAAUCUCUUAUCCAAACAUAUAUUUUCUGAAAUUAUGAGUCUGUUUGGAUGACAUGUUUAUUAGGUGUUUAUCUAAAAUUUUAUUAUAUUUAUUUUUUUAAAAAUACUGAUAUAUGUCCAAAACACUCUUUUUUUUUCCAAAUAUCCCCCUUUUUACCUCGCGUGCUACUCGCCAUCCACCGCUGCUACCGGCCUCCGCCGUCAUUACCAUAUUUAGCUCUUUUUUUUUUUCAUUUUAUUAGACCUUCUGGGUAUUUUUGUGUAUUACUAUAGAUGCUGUUUUUUAAAAUUUUAUUUCCUAAAAAGUUACCGAAUAGACCCUAUGUUUAAUUUUAUAUGUAAUCCUAUUGGUGGUUCCCAAUUCGCUUUAGAACAAUUUAACUUAAAAUUUUAUUUGAAUAUGUUUGACAUUGAUCAAUGUACACUCUGUGAGAGGAGUCUUAUAUGGUAUUUGUUUGGAUCAGUGUAUUUGAAUUGACUAAGUUUCAUAUGCAAGUGAGAUUGAUCUACUUUCAUGAGAAUGAUCGUGUUUCCAAAAUUUAUUGUUGAUGUAAGAACUGUGUUGGUAAACGUUCUGUAAAUAAGUUAUUGUUUUAAAGAUAUACUUUGAUAUGUGAUGGUAAUCGGAACUGAAUCCAUCAAUUUUAUUUUAACAUUUUACUACCAAAAAAUAUUAUGACUUUGUUUUCUUUACCCAGAAUAUAUAUAUAUUUUAAAAAAAAAAAAAAAGACGACAAAGAGACAGAGAGACGGGGAAAGGACUGAACUGGGAUUCUUACCAUCAGCAUCCCCUUCAAUUCGCAAACUAAUAGACAACACAUAAAACUCAAUUAGAUAAAUAUACCAGCAACAUAUAUGCACGAGAUUAAAUUGAAGAAAGCAGCAAUUUAGGAAGCUAAAAAUGUAUCCCCUUUUGUUUUCUGGGUUUUUUUUUUUGGGUGGCGGGGAGGGGGGGGUUGUUAAGUAAAAAAUUGGUAAUAGCCAAGUGAUUGUAUUCAAGCAGUCCUUCAAGUUACACGAGUUCUUGGCCAGCGACGUCCACUAGAAAAUAAUCAGAAAAACUGGAAAGCAUUCUGAAGUUUAAUCUAAACAGAAAUGCAAAUUCUUGCACGAACAUCAAAAGCACUGAACAUAAUAGAAGGGAUAGAUUUUAGAGCGAAGAAGUUUUACCAUUUGGGCUCCAUUCCUUUAUUUCAGCAAAUGCUUACAUAUCUAAUCCAUCUAGAAGCUUAUAUUGUCAACCCAAGAAGAUUAGUCCAUGGAAACUUACAGUAGCAGAAAAGAGAUGAUAAUCACACAGUCCAACGGUGGCACUUCUUCUCCGGUGAUGAUUCUUGCUUGGAGCUGGCCAAACACCCUCGCAAACAACACCACCAAACGGGUUUGCUGUUAAUGCGGAAGAGCAUUGAAGUUUGGAAGAAUAGAAGAUUAAAAAGACGAUUAGAGCAGCAAGUUCAGCCAAACGUUUUUAGUAAAAAAUAUUUGAGUGUGGUAGCUUGUUCCGUGGGCAAUUUAUAAACAGCACCAAACCAAGUACUGCUAGAUAUAAAGAAUAAGAGCCACUAUUUGCACUCCGAUCCCUGAGAUUUUCAAUAAUUAGAAAACACCACUCUAUACCUGGCUCGACAGAGUACACAUGACUGGUCCACCACGAUUUUUCUUUUCUUUUCUUUUCUUUUAUUUUUUCCCCACAGGCGAUCGGUCCCCCAUUUUGUGCCACGUAUUUGGAUAUUUCGACUUGUUUAGUGGAAAAAGUCGGCAAGUAAACCUUCACUGGUAGUUUGGGAGUUGAGGAUAGAAAAGAAAAGAAGAGAGAGGUUAAGUUAUGAGAGAAAAUAAAGCAUAAGAAAAGAAGAGAAGAGAUUUUAAUGUUAUUUAAAAAUUUAUGAAAAAAAGAAAAUAAUUUUGAACACAUUGAUCAAUAAAUAUUCCAUUCAAUAGUUUUUUAAGAAUAAAAUAGACAAUUUAAAAAAUUUUUGUAGCCUUUCCAUAUUGUUUCUUUGUUUUCUGCCUGAUUUGGGAUGGAAAUUUUUUUUAACUAUAACGGGUCUUUUCUUCCUCCCAAAUCAGUCAAAUUCUUUUACUUUUUUAUUUCACUAAAACUUUUAAACAUGAAAAAUACCUAUUUUUCUCUUCAACACUUUUCUUUUAUAUUCAAAUCUCAUCUCCCAACCUAGGCAUCAGAACUCAACCCCGAGAACUUUUUGUUUCCAAACAAAUAAAUAUAAAUAUACAGCAUAUCUCUUGAAAGUCUAACAUGGUAAAUGAUCAUAAAUAAUUGUUAUACAGCAUAAAUAAUUGUUAUUAGGUGUAUAAAAAAAGCACCAACCAACCUAAAGAGGGAAGAGGCGUGGGGAUUAGAACAAUUUGAAUUUCGACCAAUUAUAAACCAAUGUUAUAAUAGUGACCUGCCUUCUGUCCUUUGUCCAAGUAAAGAGUCAGAUAAACCGUGGCCCACUGGUCCAUCCGCACAAGCGUAUCGCCAGCUGGAACGCGACUACAAGAUUGCCUCUUCUCUUAAUUGACAAUUUAAGCGAUAGAUUUUGGACAUAUUGCAGUGAUUCGAUCAGAAACAUCGUAGUCCGCAUAACUAACGGCACUCGGGCGGAGCAAAUAUCUCUCAGGGUGCAAUUGCACAUUUGCAGCCCCUCAAUUUUUUUUGAAAGCUAUAGAAUGGCCUAUAAAGAAAAUCUAAAUUUUUUUUAAUAGCUUUACUCUAUACACAUUAUCCACCUACUAUAUACGCAAGAAUUUACAUCUUGAAACCUCAUGCAUAAUUUUAAUUAAUAGUAUGUAAUUUCAUACUAUUAGAUAAUUUGAUAACUACUGCAAAUAAUAAAUAACAAGUUGCAGCAAUUUUCCAAAAAAAAAAAAUUGUGUAUUUAGAGCAAAUAUUUAGUUGUACUAAAAAUUUAUAAACCAACACGUUGUAAGUAUAAACUAAUGUUGUUAUCCCUCGAAUAAAGUUCCUGACUCAACCACUGGGUAAAUCAUAGCUAUGGUAAUUUUUUUAUUUUAGUGUGUCAGUAACAUCAUUCGAACACGAUAACAUCAUUCGAACACGAUAAUCAUUUCUGUGCAAUUUGAAAAAUUUUCACGGAUGACUUAAUCUUACUUAAUUUAGUUAAUAUUUUUAAAAUAUUAAAACCACAAAUGUUCGAUAAAGAGCUGCUAGUUAUUUGCUUAGUUUCAUACAUAUAUACACACACACACACAUAAACCUACAAGUGACACAAGUGUGUUUGGACAGGAGAUUAUUUGUCCAAAUAUAUUUGCUUACAUCACCAUUACAAUUUUCAAUAUAUUUUUUUAAUUUUUCAAUUACUUUUUUAUCUCAUAUACAUCAUAUCACAAAAAGUGUUACAGUAACGCGGAUUUGGUACCAUUUUUAGCCGAUAAUGCGGUAGAGAUUUUGUCAACCUAGAUGAGUCAUGGCUGACUGGAUUUUAGAUUUCCACGUCUACUAGUGAAGAUUGAGGAUCGCAGAUGAACUAGCAUCUCUUAGCUUAUCGGCUACCAGAGACCUUGCAAGAGUAGGUGCCUCCACUCACGAGUGGCCGGCCCACGCCCAUUAUGUCCGAGCCCACCACCCACAUUGAAGUAUAAACUCAACCCGCCAGCCGCAAACACUGACGUGUACAUAAACCCACCGGUUCUUUUCUUUUCUUUUCUUUAAAAAAAAAAAAAAAAAGAGAUAAGGCCACCUUGAAAUUUUCCUUUUCUUUUUUUCCAUUGGCACAAUUGUCCCAUUAAUUAAUGUUACUCACGUCAUGAUUUUUUUAUUUUUUUUUUUGUGUUGGUGCAUCAGUAACAUGAUCUCUUCCACAAUGGUUUCUCUGAUUUAUAUCUGAUUCAGCACUACAGGUUUUAAAGCUUGGGCAUUGGAUGGAUGAUGCUUAGCUAAAAAAGCUUUCCACCUUAAAAGCAAAUUAGUAAAACUAUACUAGAAUGAAAAUACACUUCACAUCACUGGCACCAAUUUCAUCAACUAGUAGCCUGUUAUUUCUUUUUUUCCACCAAAAAUAUGUUUGAAUCAGAAAAUUUUCUCACUCAGGAUUUCAGUUGCCCUUCUUGGCUUCUGUGUUCAGGCCAUAUCCAAAUGGGUACAACGGGUCAUAAUGUCUGUCCCCGACGUUCAUGGGCAGUUGAUCAACCGUCUUGAACCAUGUAUGAGGAAGCUUGCCCGUGAAACCAUAGUCACCAAAUAAAACAUCAGCAACCCCUUGGCCCUCAGUUCCUGGAAGCCAAGCAGCUACAAGUGCAUCAAUUCGAUUCACGUAUGGCUGAAUGACGACAGGCCGGCCGGUGAUCAGAACUACAACGCAUCUCACAGACCCACAAACGUUAGUAAUGGUACUAGGGCCUGGUUCAGGAAUCGUCAAGUUUAAGCUGUCCCCGACUGUUUCAGCAUAUGGUGGCUCUCCCACCACAACAACCGCAUAGGAGAACUUGUUGGACUUGACGAAUUCUGCAUCAGGUUUUUCGCUGUACACAACUUCUGUUGUUGGAUCAACUGCAUUUCUUAUACCAGUCAGGAUUGUGGUACCUGUUUACCAGAAAAGAAUAAGUUGGAGUCAGUUACCAGUACGAAUAAAUGCCAUCACUGCUACUGCUAUCAGCUAAAAUGAUAACCAAAGAACCUUUUGUGAUGUUGCCGCUGAGGCCUUGCCACUCAAUUGUCCACCCACCACAUUGGUUACCAAUAUUAUCAGCGUGGGUUCCUGCAACUAGAAUGCGUUUCGCUUUCUUGGGGAGGGGUAGCAAUGGCUUGGCUGCGGAUUCGCCAUUCUUCAACAGCACAAGAGAUUUCCUCACUGCUUCUCUUGCCAGGUCUCUGUGCUCCUGUUAACGUUAAAAAAGUGUUUAAACUUGGGGCCAAGUGAUCUCAACUUCUCUUUCAUCUUUUCUAUUCAAUCCGCUCUUUGUAAAUCGACACCCACUUACCUGCAACCCAACGUAUUUGGUCAUGCUAUAGUCGGCCAAUGGGUGCUCAAAGAUGCCCAUCGUGAACUUCACCCUCAAAAUCCUCUUCACUGCAUCAUCAAUUCGGCUCAUUGGAACAAAAUUGUUCUUAACCAGGAAGGUUAGACCAUCAAUGAAUUCUGUAUAGUUGUAUGGAAUCAUCAUCUGCAAUAUCCGGAAAAUAACACAAGUCCUUCAGCAUUUAGCAGAGUAGAUUAAUAUUAUAAGCUUGUUAAGCAAAUCAGACUGACCAUGUCAAUUCCGGCGUUGACACCAGCGACAAUUGAGUACGUGUAAUUUGCAUGAGGAGGAGAGGUAAUCCUGUCAAUGCCUUGCCAAUCUGAGAUGACAAAUCCCUGAAUAAUAAUUCAGAACUUAAUUAAUCCUGUGCUUGAUUGAAGAUGUCGAAUGAGGAACUGGAAGCAGGAAGGAGUACUUUUUACUUUCGAAACUGAUUAGUUUACCCGAAAUCUGAGUGUGUUCUUAAGAAAACCAGUGAUCAUUUCACGAUUAGCAUGCAUCUUUAUUCCAUUCCAGCUUGAAUAGGAGAUCAUGACAGUCG
This 12650-nucleotide long non-coding RNA is filed under the name Coffea arabica (coffee). Its description in RNAcentral is "long non-coding RNA (CARA_LNC003981)". Lineage: Eukaryota; Viridiplantae; Streptophyta; Magnoliopsida; Gentianales; Rubiaceae. The record is from RNAcentral.